Molecule: long non-coding RNA, 413 nt
Filed under: Sorghum bicolor (sorghum)
Lineage: Eukaryota; Viridiplantae; Streptophyta; Magnoliopsida; Poales; Poaceae
Description: long non-coding RNA (SBIC_LNC007728)
Source: RNAcentral
AUAGGAAAAAUAAUAUUUUUCAUCAAAAUAAAAUUUAUCAUAGGAAGUAGAAACAUUUUUUGUGCACUCAUGCUCCUACAUUUUAUUUAUUGUGCUGAGUGGUUUUACUAAAGUUCAAAAGUAGUUCAAAGUGAUUUUAGAAUGGGUUUGAAAAUGGCUUUGGAAUGGAAGAAAAGAAAAUAGAAAAUAAAAAGACAAAACCCCUUCACCCUCUUUCUGGCCCGAAGGCCCAAAACCCUCCUUUCCUCUCCCCUCUCACUCCGGCCCCGCUCUCGGCCCAGCCAAGCAGGCCAGCCGCGGCCCAGCUUCCACCCAGCGCAGCUCCCUCCCCUCCCCAUAUCCUCUCUGGCGCACCUGGCCCACACGGCAGCGCCCUUCUCCCUCUCUUCUCUCACCGACAACCUGGACCCACC